GGGCCCGCACAAGCAGUGGAGCAUGUGGUUUAAUUCGAUGCAACGCGAAGAACCUUACCAGGCCUUGACAUCCUCGGAACUUUCUAGAGAUAGAUUGGUGCCUUCGGGAACCGAGUGACAGGUGCUGCAUGGCUGUCGUCAGCUCGUGUCGUGAGAUGUUGGGUUAAGUCCCGUAACGAGCGCAACCCUUGUCCUUAGUUGCCAGCACAUUAUGGUGGGAACUCUAAGGAGACUGCCGGUGAUAAGCCGGAGGAAGGUGUGGACGACGUCAAGUCAUCAUGGCCCUUACGGGUUGGGCUACACACGUGCUACAAUGGCAUCUACAGUGAGUUAAUCUCCAAAAGAUGUCUCAGUUCGGAUUGGGGUCUGCAACUCGACCCCAUG
This 384-nucleotide ribosomal RNA is filed under the name uncultured bacterium. RNAcentral describes it as "bacterial SSU rRNA". It matches the Rfam family "Bacterial small subunit ribosomal RNA", at positions 917 to 1322 of the family's 1533-position model. The record is from RNAcentral.